GAUGAACGCUGGCGGCGUGCCUAAUACAUGCAAGUCGAGCGAACAGACGAGGAGCUUGCUCCUCUGACGUUAGCGGCGGACGGGUGAGUAACACGUGGAUAACCUACCUAUAAGACUGGGAUAACUUCGGGAAACCGGAGCUAAUACCGGAUAAUAUAUUGAACCGCAUGGUUCAAUAGUGAAAGACGGUUUUGCUGUCACUUAUAGAUGGAUCCGCGCCGCAUUAGCUAGUUGGUAAGGUAACGGCUUACCAAGGCAACGAUGCGUAGCCGACCUGAGAGGGUGAUCGGCCACACUGGAACUGAGACACGGUCCAGACUCCUACGGGAGGCAGCAGUAGGGAAUCUUCCGCAAAGGGCGAAAGCCUGACGGAGCAACGCGGCGUGAGUGAUGAAGGUCUUCGGAUCGUAAAACUCUGUUAUUAGGGAAGAACAAAUGUGUACGUAACUAUGCACGUCUUGACGGUACCUAAUCAGAAAGCCACGGCUAACUACGUG
RNAcentral lists this ribosomal RNA (497 nucleotides) under uncultured bacterium. RNAcentral's name for it is "partial 16S ribosomal RNA". It matches the Rfam family "Bacterial small subunit ribosomal RNA", at positions 28 to 507 of the family's 1533-position model. The record is from RNAcentral.